GACGAACGCUGGCGGCGUGCCUAAUACAUGCAAGUAGAACGCAGUUGCGAACGGGUGAGUAACGCGUAGGUACUUGCCUCAUAGCGGGGGAUAACUAUUGGAACCGAUAGCUAAUACCGCAUACUGUGAGAUGGACCUGCGUUGUAUUAGCUAUUUGGUGAGGUAAAGGAUCACCAAGGCGACGAUACAUAGCCGACCUGAGAGGGUGAUCGGACAACCUGGGUCUGGGACAAGGCCAAGACUCAGACGGGAGGGAGCAGUAGGGAAUCUUUGGAAAUGGGAGGAAGUCUAGCCUAGCAACGCCGCGGGAGUGAAGAAGGUUUUCGGAACGUAAAGCUAAGUUGUUAGAGAAGCGUUAACUAACCAGAAAGGGACGGCUAACUACGUGCCAGCAGGCGCGGUAAUAC
Molecule: ribosomal RNA, 407 nt
Filed under: uncultured bacterium
Lineage: Bacteria
Description: partial 16S ribosomal RNA
Rfam family: Bacterial small subunit ribosomal RNA
Source: RNAcentral